This 456-nucleotide ribosomal RNA is filed under the name uncultured bacterium. Its description in RNAcentral is "bacterial SSU rRNA". It matches the Rfam family "Bacterial small subunit ribosomal RNA", at positions 340 to 786 of the family's 1533-position model. The record is from RNAcentral.
UACGGGAGGCAGCAGUGGGGAAUAUUGCACAAUGGGCGAAAGCCUGAUGCAGCUAUGCCGCGUGUAUGAAGAAGGCCUUAGGGUUGUAAAGUACUUUCAUCGGGGAGGAAAAAACAAAACUAAUAAUUUUAUUUCUUGACGUUACCCGAAAAAGAAGCACCGGCUAACUCCGUGCCAGCAGCCGCGGUAAUACGGAGGGUGCUAGCGUUAAUCAGAAUUACUGGGCGUAAAGAGCACGUAGGUGGUUUUUUUAAGUCAGAUGUGAAAUCCCUGGGCUUAACCUAGGAACUGCAUUUUGAAACUGAAAUACUAGAGUAUCGUAGAGGGAGGUAGAAUUCUAGGUGUAGCGGUGAAAUGCGUAGAUAUCUGGAGGAAUACCUGUGGCGAAAGCGGCCUCCUAAACGAAUACUGACACUGAGGGUGCGAAAGCGUGGGGAGCAAACAGGAUUAGAUACC